AAUGAACGCUGGCGGCAUGCCUUACACAUGCAAGUCGAACGGCAGCACGGGAGCAAUCCUGGUGGCGAGUGGCGAACGGGUGAGUAAUAUAUCGGAACGUGCCCAGUCGUGGGGGAUAACGCAGCGAAAGCUGUGCUAAUACCGCAUACGAUCUAUGGAUGAAAGCGGGGGAUCGCAAGACCUCGCGCGAUUGGAGCGGCCGAUAUCAGAUUAGGUAGUUGGUGGGAUAAAAGCUUACCAAGCCGACGAUCUGUAGCUGGUCUGAGAGGACGACCAGCCACACUGGGACUGAGACACGGCCCAGACUCCUACGGGAGGCAGCAGUGGGGAAUUUUGGACAAUGGGCGAAAGCCUGAUCCAGCCAUGCCGCGUGCAGGAUGAAGGCCUUCGGGUUGUAAACUGCUUUUGUACGGAACGAAAAGACUCUGGUUAAUACCUGGGGUCCAUGACGGUACCGUAAGAAUAAGCACCGGCUAACUACGUGCCAGCAGCCGCCGUAA
Molecule: ribosomal RNA, 500 nt
Filed under: uncultured bacterium
Lineage: Bacteria
Description: partial 16S ribosomal RNA
Rfam family: Bacterial small subunit ribosomal RNA
Source: RNAcentral